Molecule: ribosomal RNA, 426 nt
Filed under: uncultured bacterium
Lineage: Bacteria
Also listed under: 1 other name
Description: bacterial SSU rRNA
Rfam family: Bacterial small subunit ribosomal RNA
Source: RNAcentral
UCGAGAAUUUUUCUCAAUGGGCGAAAGCCUGAAGGAGCGACGCCGCGUGGAGGAUGAAGGCUUUCGGGUUGUAAACUCCUGUCAUUUGAGAACAAGUUGGACGCAGUAACUACGCGUCCAUUGAUAGUAUCAGAAGAGGAAGGGACGGCUAACUCUGUGCCAGCAGCCGCGGUAAUACAGAGGUCCCAAGCGUUGUUCGGAUUCAUUGGGCGUAAAGGGUGCGUAGGUGGCGCCGUAAGUGGGGUGUGAAAUUUCGGAGCUUAACUCCGAAACUGCAUUCCAUACUGCGGUGCUUGAGGACUGGAGAGGAGACUGGAAUUUACGGUGUAGCAGUGAAAUGCGUAGAGAUCGUAAGGAAGACCAGUGGCGAAGGCGGGUCUCUGGACAGUUCCUGACACUGAGGCACGAAGGCCAGGGGAGCAAACG